Vicugna pacos (alpaca) is the source of this 5654-nucleotide non-coding RNA. The record is from RefSeq and is a predicted model, not a curated record. NCBI's taxonomy places the organism in Eukaryota, Metazoa, Chordata, Mammalia, Artiodactyla, Camelidae.
CCACCCGCUUUCCCCUGGUAACCAUAAGAUUGUUUAAAUGGUACUAUGUCCCCUUCUACUUUCUCCCCUCUUUGUCCACAUCUAGAAAAAUUGUACACAGGCUGCCCUUUCUCUAUCUACCAGCUCUAUAGCUGUGCUCAGACUUUCCCUACACCAGUAUUUCUCAACCUUGAGCACACAUCAGCAUCACCUGGAAGUCACCUCACCCUAGAAAUUUAGAUUCCACAGGUCUAAGGGUGGGGCCCAAGGGUUUGCAUUUAGAAAAACAAAACAAGUUCCAGGUGACUCUGUUGCUAGCCUGGGACCACAGUGUGAGAGCCACAGCCUUAACCAGUCUUUUCUAAACCUGUGACUUCAGCCACCACCCCACUGAUGAUUCACUUGCAUGGGCGUUCCUGAAACCUCAGACUUGGAUAGCUCUUUAUCACAUCUCUAUCCCAGUGUCCUCCAAGCCCCUGAUCUUAAUCUGCCCCAAGUGGAGCGAGUCAAAUCUCCUUUGCUCUUACCUCUCCACACCCCCAAAUCUGCUCCUCCUCCUGUAUUUACUCUGUUGGAGAAAGACACUGCCCCCUACCUUAGCCUUGACAUGCCACAAACUCCUAGGGAUUACUGCCGUCAGGUUCUCUGGUUCACAGAGUGCCUCCCAAGCCCACUGUCACUGCCAUGCCCAGGCCCUCACAGAAGCCCUCAUCUCUGGGGACCCUGAUGGACCCACAGCAAAUGUGUUCCUUUUGCCGGAAUUCCCUCUUUGAGGUUAGUUGCCCCCCUAGUACCCAUAGCCAUACCCUGACCACGUGCACUCACUAGGCACACUGGGUCAGCCUGGGCUGCUCUAGCAAACCACGUAGACUGGGGGGCUCAGAUAACAGACCUUUCCUUCUCGCUGCUCUGGAGGCUGGAAGUCUAAGGUCAAGGUUGCCAGCAGAUUCAGCAUCUGGUGAGACCUGGUUUGCAUACGGCUGCCUUCUUACUAAAUCCUCACAUGGUGGGGAAAGAGAGAAUCCCUCACAUGUCUCUUCCUUUAAGGACACUGACCCCAUUUGUGAGGGCCCCACCCUCAUGUCCUAGUCACUUCCCAAAGGCCCCGCCUCCAGGUAGAGAGUAAGACUUCAACAUAUAAAUCAGGGGGUGGGGUGGGGUGCCUGCUCUGUUGAUAUUUUAGAAACAUAUAUUUAAUUUUAGUAGCACCAGUGUCUGCUAAUGUGCAAGGCACCCUGAAAGGACCAACAUUUUGUUCUGACCUAAGAACGUCCUGGGAAGAAAUACACUGCUUCUGAAAUCUCGGGUGUUGUUACACCCCUUUCAGUUCCCCUGGUGAUUAAGCCAUCUCUGAAGGGACUGUAGUACAUACACUUCUCUCUCUGGAUGAGCUUGUUAACGUUACUAACAAAUAAUUCUAGGUGCAUUUUACUCCAGCAACAGCGAUAGUUGGCAAUGGAUUCCUUUGAAAUAAGUUUGCGUUCAGACAAUAAGCUAAGUACUCUUCGGUAAGGCUGAGGAGUAGAGAGAGAUUUAAGGAGAUGUGGGCUCUAGGUCCGGCUCAGCUGUAAGCCGUCCAAACUCCAUGGACUCGAGAUCUUUUCUGAUAAAAGGAGGUACUUGGCUUCUCUAGCUUCUCUUAGGGCAGUUUUUAGCCUUUUAGUUUAGCAUAUUAACAAUAAUGUCCAAUCUAGUAAAGUAAAUGCAAGCGUGAGCUGAUGGGCUGUCCCUCUGUGUGACUGCAUGAAACGUUAAGGAGCAACGGAGAACUGUGGAGUCAAAGCAGAGUACCCUUGUGUAUAAGAACCUGUACCUGGAUCCUCGAUCCAUGGAGAGGCCCAAACCCUAGACUCGGUGGAAAUGGUGGCAAAAGGAGCCCAGUGGAAGAGUCACCUCCACAGAUAGAACAGUUCACUGAAGUGAAACUAAUGUCAGGAAUAUUGCAAUUUCUUAUACACAUGGUGAGGCUAACACUUUAGCAAUUCACACUUUUGACACGGUGCCCUCUGAACACAUCUUAAUUCUUUUGUCUCUAAUGUCUCACAUCAAUGAGACAGGAGGGAAGGGGGCAGCACACAGCUAUUAAAGUAACGACACAGCAGUUAGCACCAAGAUGGCGAACAGUCACCUCCCAGUAGACCCCGAGGCCCAAGGUGGCGGGAGAUUUGACUUCGAGUAGGCCUUGAGCUACAUUAUACACACUGAAAUGGACUAGCACGUGAAUGACACACCCACAGGUGCCAUGACAGUUCCGAGGCUAACCAUGAAGGGUCAAAAAGAGAGCAGUGGCCCAAUUCCUAGAAAUCCCUGCCCAUUCACCAAAGUAGUUGGAAAAAUCCUCUCACUUGUUAGCAUAUAAAAACUAGCAACGCUACGCCUCACGGUCGUUCCCUCCUGCGAUGGCCUGCACUCUGUUUAUGGAGUGUACACCUCUCUUAGUCUACUUUUACUCAAUUAUGGUUUGCUCUUGAAGUCUUUCCUGCAUGAAGCCAAGGACCCUUACUUGGCAGAGUGUGUCCCAGGGACUCAACCGAGACCUGGGUCAUGGCCAUCGUCUCCUGCCCCCUUUAUUUUCCUCUGUCGUCAACAUUGAAAAAGUUAUAGUCAAAAGAUCACCAGAAUCCAAGCUAGCAGAGUAUCAACAUGCAUAUUUCCUCUUAAACCAUAAGGCCACAUGAUUCUCGUGAAUAUUAAAUGUAGAGAACCACCGCUAAGUCAAAAAGGACCCACUCAGGUAUGGCCUAACGGUGACAUCCUGCAAUUCACAUGGUCUCGGUCAACACCUAGAAGGUCACCAUUUAGUUCUUUGAUGAGGCAUUGUCUUCCCUUGCUUCUGGGAGUUCUCAGUUACACAGAUACUAUCUUUAUUUGAGGUUGCAGGACUAACCAGUCUAUCAUUUUAAAACCUGUUUUUCAUUGUCAUAUCAUCCUAAGAGAGAGUGUCUAUGCCAAAGCCUAAAAUCAUAGGAUCACUGUUGCUAGCUGGGGUAGCAAGGAAGAACAUUCAGUACCAGUAAGACCUCUUUGAUACAUCGCAUGCAAAUGAAGGCGGCAAUGAAUUAUUUCAUCGAUGCUGUCCAAACUCAAAUGCACCCUGUUGAACUUUCCCUUAGCUUGAUACCACAACCAUCAAAUACAAAGGCAGUGGAGGGAAGGGUCGCUGUAAUAUGCAACACAAUAAAUACAUCAAUUGAAGACCAACAUUAAAAGAGUUAUUUGCUAAUGGGCACCAUGCCAGGGUUACUCAGGCAGUGCUGCUUGCAGAAUUCCUAAGCUGAGUUCACAAGAUACAGAUCGAUGCACCUCCAAAGAGAGUCUAUAUCAAUCUCCAUUUCAUUCAUUAGCUCCCACUCCAAGCUGGUUGGCUGCUAGUUAACUCUUUAAUGUGGGAGAAACUGUCAGUGUAAAGGCCACUGGGACACGUGCUCUUCCCAGCUGUACUUGACCUGUCAAUAUUUCUUGCAGCAGAAUGUUUAAACUGGUCCGGCUAAUGGCAAAAUGGAGACCUGUGGGGUUUGGAAGGCUUUCAUAGCUUUAGAAUGGCUUACCAUCCAAUAGCAAACAUUAGUAAAUUCACCCCGUUGCUGUAUUUCUGCCUUGCUUUACUAUCCAGGUGCAUGGAAACUGGGAUAAAAUUAUUUCCCAUAGUUUUAUUCUUGAACUCAAAGGUAUUUUAGACUACACAUUAUGUAAAUGUGGGCUCCGCUACAAUGAGAUGCGAUCACACCAAGGACCUGGCUGCAGUGGAGAUCAUUAGUUUGUGAUUCAGCUCUAAAGCAGCUCCAAACAAUGAGGGGAGCAAAGCAGCACUUUCCGUCAAGUUAGGAUUCGUUUUCAAUUUGUAUUGGUCCAGGGACAACUUUAUUGUUACGCCGUGGAGGAACCUGGAUGCUCUGGGGGACGCGCGGUGCAUGAACUAUUUCAAGCCCUUCUGAAAAUGUAAAUAAGAGCCCUAAAACAUAAAGGCAUAAUUACCAAAACAAAGAACAGCCUCAGACCACCAGGAAUAGCUGGCUUCGCUUAUUUUCUUUCUACAAAUAUUGAAUUUACUAAUUUCCCUUGCCUUACUGUUGAAUAAAAUCAAUUUUCUCAGUAGAGCUGAUCUCUGCUUUGUUUGAGGUUAGAUGUGAGGUUGAUAUGCGUCCUUAGAUAUACUGUUUGGGAGAAAGCCUUGAAUAUUUAACCCUACGUCACAGCGGGCCCUCCCUUCUCCGUCCUGUGGGGCGUCUAUUGAUUCAUUAUUUGACAAUCAGGAUUCUCCAUAGGUUAAUUGACAUGUUUGGAAUUCAUGGCAAGAAAAUCUGUGCAUUAUUUUAAAACUCCUGUCAAAUUGUUUGUAGAUAUGGUUUGAUAACAACACCUGUUUUUUUCCCUCUCUUGGCCAAUACAAUCCACUGAGAAUCCUGGCUUAAAAAAUUUCCCUGCAGAAUUGUCAAACAUAUGUAUUUGUAUUUCAUUACUUGGGUAAUAGCUGAUUUGCCAAGUUCAUUUACUACUAGUUGCUUCUCAAACAUCUCAGUGGGAUAAUUAAGGAAUACUAAGAACUGAAACUGUACUAAGUUAGGAGGGGGCUGGAGCCAUUGCCCAAAUCCCAGUCCUGAUUAAACUGCUGUCCAGAAUUAAAUAUUCAAUAACUGAAACGCUCUUUUCUUCCUUUACUCUGAGCAACUUAUCAUCAAGAAGACGAAGCUACUCCCCAAGUUGUGCAAGAGAGACCCCCCUCAAAUUAUCUGUACCAGUCAGAUCAAAAUCCUGCAGACUUUCAAGUGAAAAGUAUUUAAACUCAAAACUGGCAAUGGUCCAAGUGGUGCCUUUUCUCAGCGGAUAUAGACGUGGGGAGGGGAAAUGAAUAGUAACUUCAGGAGCAUGUCUUGGAAAGGAGUUAAGAAAGGCCAGGCACAGUUCAAGGUUACAGCUGAACACAAGGGCACUGAUGAGAAUUUGGACAGCUAAUACCCUCUCUUGAGAAAUUGUGAAUGCGAAGGAUCUGGAGAAGAAUGUUGAAGUAUGAUAGCAUUAGAGUUUAAAUGCUCUCCAAGAAUCUUGCUGGCUCAUUGCACAAAGAAAAGAGAGAGAUUUUAAUCAUGAGCUAUCUAUCAUCACCUGAAUUUGAAUGCCUGUUGUUUGAAGUCACAAGCUACUGACUCCCAUGAUGAAAUUGUGCAGUUACGGGAGUGAAAAACCUUGAAGAUGGAGACAGUAAGCUGCCUACCUUGACUAAAGGCGCUGUUGUCCUCAGAGGGACACAGUAUUGGAUCCCCGCUGAGAAGUCAAGCUUAGCCGUCAUCUGACGACCUGCACUUGGGUGUAUGCACGGACAGAACUGAGUCAUGUGAUAGGACAGAUCACCGAUUACCUUUCUUUUUAAACUGCCCAUUUGACUUCUUUUCUCAGGUGCGCUUGAUCUAGAAAUGGUUAAGAAUAUUUUAACUGGAACCAAAAUUGCCAAGGUUCUUGGAUUUCACAAAGUAAAAGCUAAUAAACAGUGAUGAGGGCAUUGGUUUCAUCAGGGAAUAAAAAAACAAAACUUUUAUUUGUGCAGGAAGGGAGGAUCUUCAGCAGGGUCUCACGUUUGCUGUCUUGGUUCCGUUUCCCCAAUAUUGCUGUGAAGAACUCUGCAUGGAUUUCUAUGGAUCUUGUUUAAAAUGUUUAUUAAAACUGCUACUUGACACAAA